RNAcentral lists this ribosomal RNA (426 nucleotides) under uncultured bacterium. RNAcentral's name for it is "partial 16S ribosomal RNA". It matches the Rfam family "Bacterial small subunit ribosomal RNA", at positions 355 to 774 of the family's 1533-position model. The record is from RNAcentral.
UGGGGAAUAUUGCACAAUGGGCGCAAGCCUGAUGCAGCCAUGCCGCGUGUAUGAAGAAGGCCUUCGGGUUGUAAAGUACUUUCAGCGGGGAGGAAGGCGAUAAGGUUAAUACCUUGUCGAUUGACGUUACCCGCAGAAGAAGCACCGGCUAACUCCGUGCCAGCAGCCGCGGUAAUACGGAGGGUGCAAGCGUUAAUCGGAAUUACUGGGCGUAAAGCGCACGCAGGCGGUCUGUCAAGUCGGAUGUGAAAUCCCCGGGCUCAACCUGGGAACUGCAUUCGAAACUGGCAGGCUAGAGUCUUGUAGAGGGGGGUAGAAUUCCAGGUGUAGCGGUGAAAUGCGUAGAGAUCUGGAGGAAUACCGGUGGCGAAGGCGGCCCCCUGGACAAAGACUGACGCUCAGGUGCGAAAGCGUGGGGAGCAAACA